RNAcentral lists this ribosomal RNA (465 nucleotides) under uncultured bacterium. Its description in RNAcentral is "partial 16S ribosomal RNA". It matches the Rfam family "Bacterial small subunit ribosomal RNA", at positions 28 to 507 of the family's 1533-position model. The record is from RNAcentral.
GACGAACGCUGGCGGCGUGCUUAACACAUGCAAGUCGAACGGAAAGGCCCCUUUGGGGGUACUCGAGUGGCGAACGGGUGAGUAACACGUGAGUAACCUGCCCUUGCCUUCGGGAUAACUUCAGGAAACUGGGGCUAAUACCGGAUAGGAAUCCUUGCUGCAUGGGGGGGGUUGGAAAGCUUCGGCGGUUUUGGAUGGACUCGCGGCUUAUCAGCUUGUUGGUGGGGUAGUGGCUUACCAAGGCUUUGACGGGUAGCCGGCCUGAGAGGGCGACCGGCCACAUUGGGACUGAGAUACGGCCCAGACUCCUACGGGAGGCAGCAGUGGGGAAUAUUGCACAAUGGGCGGAAGCCUGAUGCAGCAACGCCGCGUGCGGGAUGACGGCCUUCGGGUUGUAAACCGCUUUCAGCAGGGGCGAAGCUUGUGGUGACGGUACCUGCAGAAGAAGCACCGGCUAACUACGUG